RNA transcript from Bufo gargarizans (Asiatic toad), 1973 nucleotides. It is a transcript of the gene named stimulator of chondrogenesis 1, with no coding region annotated. The transcript has 4 exons. The record is from RefSeq and is a predicted model, not a curated record. NCBI's taxonomy places the organism in Eukaryota, Metazoa, Chordata, Amphibia, Anura, Bufonidae.
UGCUUUCACAGGUUUGCAGCCAACAUAUCUGCACCCCCCUCAUCCCAGCAUGGAUCCCAGGGGAACAGCCAGUCUUGUAUCUCACAGCCCCUCUUUAUCUCUCUCUCAAUGAGUGGCUGUGCUCCAAGGAAGAAGACAAGAAAAAGGAACCAGAAUGAACUGUGUCUUGAAUAUAGGCAUGCUGCUUGUUUUCUAGGAAAUCUAUGUGCCAAGACGCCAGGAAUACCCUGUCUCACAAUAGGGAGAGUAAGGUACCCCAGAGGACUACUGCAAAAGAUGCUCCUGAUCACUGGUACACACUGAUAGCUCUGUGGGCACGCUGCUCGGACAGUUCCUGUAUUCAUAAUAAUAAACCUAUUUACUAAGGAUGUGAUGGGAGGAUCAACAAUGCAUCGUCUGCAGUUUAGUCAAUGAGACCUGCUCCUCAAGGAACCGAGAAGAAGGAGGAAUCUUCCUGGGAGCUGGAAUCAGAAAGACGUUUAACUCUUGUAGAUAGUUCACAUUCCAAUUCUGAUCUGUCAUCUGUGGACCGUGGUCUGUGGGAAGAAAGAAUAUGAUUAUUGUGUGGGACUGAACAAAUUCUGAUUUCCAAAGGUUCAUAUAAGGUGAAUUGUUACUAGAUGAAUCUAAGCUGCGUUCACAUACUAUAUACAGUGCAAAACAAUCUAUUGGUGAGCUAGUAUUUUUCUUUUUGGUUAAUUGAUUAGAAAGCAGAUGCUUUAUUAGAUAGCAAUUUUCUUCAGUUUUCCAAUUUUGGGUCUGGCACUAUUGUAGUAUUGGCUCUCUAUUCAUGCAGGCGUUUCUGUUUCCAGUCUUUAUAUAUAUAUAUAUAUAUUUUUAACUCACUUGCUUAUUUUUAUUUAUUUAAACACCAUUUAUUCCAGGGCGCUGUACAUAUGAAAAGGGUGUAAAUACAUAAUACAAAAACAAGUAAAAUAAGUGUGAACAAGAUGAGUUACAAACCGGUAGAGAAGGAGAGAGGACCCUACCUGUGAGAGCUUAUGAUCCAUAGUAAACUUUUGGGUCCAGAAAUCAAACCAGAAUUAAACUACCUAGGACAUUUUGAUGCAAACUAAGGCCUCCUUCAUAUAUGUCUGACCCCUCAGCUUUUUUACUCUCUGACUUAUCACCCAAAAAAGCUGGAGGGAAACUGAUGAUGACAUAUGCCCUAUAGUUUUCUAUACAGUUUUGUAUGUGAUGGCGUUGGAUGCUGCCCUGACCUCGACAGAAAAAUGUGACAUGUAAUGAUGAUCAGUUAUUUUCACAUAAAAAGCUGCAAACAUUAAAAAUUGUACUAAUAAUACUAAUAACUAUGAUGAUGGAAGAAAUGGUGCAACAAUUCCAUUAAAUAUACCUAUUAGCAUAUACAGUAUAAAGUUAUUAUUUAUAAAACUUAUAGUAACAUCAGUCACACUGUAAACAUAUUAGUUAUGAGAUUAUUAUAUGAAAUAUUAAUGUCAUCUGUUACAAAUAUUCAUUAAUUCUACAUUUUCAUCUCCAGCAACAGUUUUAUAUAAUAACCUAACUUCAACUAAGAAAAUAAAAUGGGUUCACCUCAAUCUAAGCAAACAUCUGGGACAAGCUACCAGGUCUUCGCAUCUAGUGUAGUUCAGUACAUCUCUUUGUGUCUGUACUGUAAUAUUGUGAAUAAACCAUUCCAAACUAUUGAUGUUGCGUAAUUUUAAAAAAUGUCCUGUUUUUCCAAUUUUCUCCAACAGUUUGUAUCAGCAUUGUUUAUUCAAUGUGCUAAUGCAUGAUUGCAUAAUGGUUAGGACAUCAUUUCCUAUUACUACCCUUUGAAAAUAUCAUAAGAAAAAUGAGAAACUGAAUAUUCUUCAGCACUUUAAUAAAAAUCAUAAGUAGGUCAUAUGUUUUAUAUUGAGCAGUGUGUUUUGAACAGUAUUGGAGGGAUGUGUUAGCACUUAUGUGAAUUUUAUAUAAUGUCAUGUAUAAGCUACUAAUAUACUGCAUUG